Long non-coding RNA from Lucilia sericata (common green bottle fly), 313 nucleotides. RefSeq lists it as uncharacterized. Lineage: Eukaryota; Metazoa; Arthropoda; Insecta; Diptera; Calliphoridae. The record is from RefSeq and is a predicted model, not a curated record. The transcript has 3 exons.
AAAAAUUAUAUAAAAAUAUAAAUCACAUAUAAACUCACAGGGAUUUGGUUUUGUAACAUUCGCUAACAGCAAUGAUGCGGAACGAGCACGUGAACGUCUACAUGGUACCGUGGUUGAGGGACGUAAAAUAGAGGUUAAUAAUGCAACGGCACGUGUACAAACCAAAAAAGUGACCACCGUUCCAAAUGUUUGUGUACAAUGGCCUGAAGGUAAGUGUUGUUUGCAUAUUUUUCUCUGUGCUAAAUUGUUUUAAUUAUUUUAUGCUAUUUGUUAUAAAAGUAUGUUUUUAAAAACCAUACAUUUAAAAGCUUUU